GGUAGUAAUGGAGGUCCACAAAUCCGAAGUCAAAACUUAUCCUAGAAGGAAUUGAAUGAAGCCACAAUACUAAUUUUCCUUUCUCUUUUUUAUAUAAUUUCAACAAAUUAGCCUUUACAGUAUUCCUUGAUACUAACUUGGCCUCCUCACAAACAUAAGCAAAUAAAGAUCUAAUGCCUUCAUACUCAACAAAUUGAAAUGGUAGAUCAUGCUUAAUAAUUGCAAGUGUUAGCAAUUCACGAAAUUUGUUAGGAUUAAACUUAGUAGAAC
This 270-nucleotide long non-coding RNA is filed under the name Phoenix dactylifera (date palm). RNAcentral describes it as "long non-coding RNA (PDAC_LNC008972)". The record is from RNAcentral. Lineage: Eukaryota; Viridiplantae; Streptophyta; Magnoliopsida; Arecales; Arecaceae.